Molecule: long non-coding RNA, 654 nt
Organism: Meriones unguiculatus (Mongolian gerbil)
Lineage: Eukaryota; Metazoa; Chordata; Mammalia; Rodentia; Muridae
Exons: 3
Source: RefSeq, a predicted model, not a curated record
CACCUCUGCACUUCCUACUUUUCAUCUGCAAAAUUCAGUGGUGAAAUGAGAUGACCCCUGAACUGUUUUCCUUCUCUAACUGGAAGUUUUAGAUAAGCUGAAAAUGUUAACUUCACAAACAAAAACAUUGGGAAUCACUUCAACAGAGUGAUGGGGAGUCCCCAAGACCAAUGAAGAUGUGGGGAUAAAAACUGGUGUCAUGAGGGAUCAAGAAUCUUACUGACUCUCAAGGCAGCCACUCCUCUCUGGACCUCCAUUCCAAGAAGAUUGGUCAUCGGCUCUCGAACACAGCGUACGUCUUCCUUCCUCCGGCCAUUGUUCGUGUUGUGUUCUGCUCAUGGAAUGCUCCUCCAGCCUUCCUUUCCAACCAGCACUUUCCAGCCAAUUUUCUUCAAGGAAAUUGCUCUAGUUUGGAUGCCUGUUGAAUGUGUCACCCCCCCCCCCCCGCCCCUGGUUCCUAUGUAGGUGUUUGAUAUUCACUGUGACAUUUUCAGAGAACAGACUCUUAACCUGACUGUUGUGUUGUGCUUAGUGGUGGGGCCUCUGGGAGAUGGGUGGGCUUAGACGAGAGUCCCCAGGAGUGAGUAACAGUGGCGUCGUAAGAAAAUGCUCUCUUUUGCCUUCUCUCUCUCUCUCUUUUCUCUCUUUCUCUCU